RNAcentral lists this ribosomal RNA (1038 nucleotides) under Triticum aestivum (bread wheat). Its description in RNAcentral is "partial small subunit ribosomal RNA". Lineage: Eukaryota; Viridiplantae; Streptophyta; Magnoliopsida; Poales; Poaceae. The record is from RNAcentral.
AUGGACUGCGUCGCCGCCUCCGGCAACUGCCCAGGCUGCAAGGAGGCCUACUCCGCCGGCAGCGACACUGACGACUCCGUCGACGAGGACGACGACGACGCCAUCUCCUCGUCGGAGGAAAGGGACCAGAUGCCCAUGACAUCCAUGUCCAAGCGCUUCUCCAUGGUGCACUCCAUCAAGAUGCCCAUGCCUAGCAGCAACGGCAAGCCGGCCGACUUCGACCACGCCCGGUGGCUCUUCGAGACCAAGGGCACCUACAGCUACGGCAACGCUCUAUGGUUCGAGAACGAGCACGGCGGCGGCGGCAACAUCGCUGGGGCCACCUCCGGAUUCGUCGGCAUCGAGGAGCCGCCCAACUUCGGUACCCGCUGCUGCCGGCCCCUGACGAGGAAGACCAGCGUCUCUCAGGCCAUCCUCAGCCCAUACAGGUACCAAUUCCUCGCAAUGCAUGCGCCACCGACGUCGGAGCCAGUGCUUGGCGGUGAGCCGGCGGAGUCCGGCGUGCUGAUCGACACGACGGGCGUGGACAUCCGGCUGUCGAUGUUGGUGUACGUUUCGCGCGAGAAGAGGCCCAGGUACGACCACAACAAGAAGGCGGGCACCAUGAACGCGCUGGUCAGGAUGAGUGCCAUCAUGCCGAACGGGCCUUUCAUCCUCAACCUGGACUGCGACCACUACGUGCACAACUCGGCGGCGCUCCGCGAAGGGAUGUGCUACAUGCUCGACCGCCGCGGCGACCGCAUCUGCUACGUGAAGUUCCCGCAGCGGUUCCAGGGCACCGACCCCAACGAUCGGUACGCCAACCACAACCUCGUCUUCUUCGAUGUCGCCAUGCGCGCCAUGGACGGGCUGCAGGGCCCCAUGUACGUCGGCACAGGCUGCAUAUUCCGCCGCACUGCUCUGUAUGGGUUCAGCCCGCCGCGCGCCACCAAGCACCACGGCUGGCUUGGCAGGAAGAAGAUCAAGCUGUUCCUGAGGAAGCCCACCAUGGGGAAGAAGACGGACAGGGAGCUGGUCAUGGCGUUUUUGCAAAAAUAA